This 936-nucleotide long non-coding RNA is filed under the name Medicago truncatula (barrel medic). Its description in RNAcentral is "long non-coding RNA (MTRU_LNC000856)". Lineage: Eukaryota; Viridiplantae; Streptophyta; Magnoliopsida; Fabales; Fabaceae. The record is from RNAcentral.
UCAAUCAAUACUUUUCCUAGAUACAUAUAAGUUUCAUAGAGAGUACUUUAUAAAAAUGAAUUCAAAGGCUUUACUUUUCCUAGCCAUGCUGUUGGCUACCAUCCUUCUUAUAUGUGCAGAGUCUGCACCCAAAGACUUGGACAACAAAGAUGGUAAUACUAGUUUUGAACAUUUAGUAUAAUUUCCACCAAUUAUUAUAUAUUUAUUUUAACUUUACUAAGUUUAAUAAAACUCUUAUUAUUUGUACGUUGUAUGGAAAUAAGCUAGCUUCAUUCUUAAAAAAACUUGAAAUGGCGACAUAAAUUUAGAGAUAGAAAAAGAAUGAAAAAUUUAGCGAUUAAUUAAAAAAUUUCCAUUUUUAAUUUUCGUCUUAAUUUUAACUUUUUAUAGUAGUGAUUUAUGUUGAGAAUUUUACUACAAUCUGAUUGUAUAUAUUUUCUUGAUUUGUAGAAAAAAUUGACACAAAUGGAUAUUAUGGAGGUGGAGGUUACGGUGGUCCAUGGCGUGGUGGCGGCUAUGGCGGUUGGGGCGGUGGUUAUGGAGGUAGGGGUGGAUAUGGUGGAUGGCGUGGUGGUGGAUGGCGUGGGGGUUGGGGUGGUGGUGGCUGGCGUGGGGGUUAUGGUGGCGGUCACGGCGGUUGGGGCGGUGGUUGGCCUAACGAACACCAUGAUGCUUAUACUGACGCUGAACCUCAUAACUAAGGAUGAACUUGAGCUGUUAGGGUUACUACUACAAUAAAUAAAACUUCAUGUGAAGUGUACUUAAUAGAAAAAAGAAAAAAUAUAUAAUAAAAAGUUAGAAUCAUGUGUUGUAUUGUACUUACUAAAUAAAUAACACUCACGUACCUUGUGUUUAUAUUUCUUUAGUGUUAAUGUCUUGUUUUCCUAUUUUGUAUAACCCUAAACCCUACACUCCAACACACAGUGGCAACUGAAG